CGGGACGGGUGAGUAACGCGUGGGUAACCUGCCUUGUACAGGGGGAUAACAGUUGGAAACGGCUGCUAAUACCGCAUAAGCGCACAGCAUCGCAUGAUGCAGUGUGAAAAACUCCGGUGGUAUAAGAUGGACCCGCGUUGGAUUAGCUUGUUGGUGAGGUAACGGCCCACCAAGGCGACGAUCCAUAGCCGACCUGAGAGGGUGACCGGCCACAUUGGGACUGAGACACGGCCCAA
Molecule: ribosomal RNA, 236 nt
Filed under: uncultured bacterium
Lineage: Bacteria
Description: partial 16S ribosomal RNA
Rfam family: Bacterial small subunit ribosomal RNA
Source: RNAcentral